AAGUCGUAACAAGGUUUCCGUAGGUGAACCUGCGGAAGGAUCAUUACCUAGAGUUGUAGGCUUUGCCUGCUAUCUCUUACCCAUGUCUUUUGAGUACCUUCGUUUCCUCGGCGGGUCCGCCCGCCGAUUGGACAACCUUAAACCCUUUGCAGUUGCAAUCAGCGUCUGAAAAAACUUAAUAGUUACAACUUUCAACAACGGAUCUCUUGGUUCUG
RNAcentral lists this unclassified non-coding RNA (215 nucleotides) under fungal sp. RNAcentral's name for it is "partial internal transcribed spacer region". The stretch from base 1 to 46 matches the Rfam family "Eukaryotic small subunit ribosomal RNA", at positions 1786 to 1831 of the family's 1831-position model. The record is from RNAcentral. Lineage: Eukaryota; Fungi.